AACGAAGCCCAACCUUGUUCUUAGGUUACAGGCGGUUAGGCCGGGAACUCAAAGGAGACUGCCAGUGAUAAACUGGCGGAAGGUGGGGAUGACGUCAAGUCAUCAUGGCCCUUACGACUAGGGGUACACAAGUGCUACAAUGGUCGAUACAAAGGGAAGAAACCCCGCGAGAGCAACCCAACCCCACAAAGUAUAUAGUAGUCCGGAUCGGAGUCUGCAACUGGACUCCGGAAGUCGGAAUCGCUAGUAACGUAGAUCAGAAUUCGCGGGAAUAACGUUCCCGACCUCCCCUUUUCCACCCAUCCACCCCCAUGUGAACUCUCGGCCCAAGCUUCUCUCCUCAUAAUU
This 348-nucleotide ribosomal RNA is filed under the name Leclercia sp. SS31. RNAcentral describes it as "bacterial SSU rRNA". The stretch from base 1 to 283 matches the Rfam family "Bacterial small subunit ribosomal RNA", at positions 1091 to 1376 of the family's 1533-position model. Lineage: Bacteria; Pseudomonadati; Pseudomonadota; Gammaproteobacteria; Enterobacterales; Enterobacteriaceae. The record is from RNAcentral.